GAUGAACGCUCGCUACAGGCUUAACACAUGCAAGUCGCGGGGCAGCAUGGGGGUUGCUUGCAAUCCCCGAUGGCGACCGGCGCACGGGUGAGUAACGCGUAUUCAACCUGCCCUUCACCACGGGAUAACCCGGCGAAAGUCGGACUAAUACCGUAUGUUGUCCAUUGACGGCAUCCGAUUUGGACGAAAGGCUUGGCGGUGAGGGAUGGGGAUGCGUCCGAUUAGCCAGACGGCGGGGUAACGGCCCACCGUGGCUACGAUCGGUAGGGGUUCUGAGAGGAAGGUCCCCCACACUGGAACUGAGACACGGUCCAGACUCCUACGGGAGGCAGCAGUGAGGAAUAGUGGUCAAUGGGCGUAAGCCUGAACCAGCCAAGUAGCGUGCAGGAUGACGGCCCUAUGGGUUGUAAACUGCUUUUAUGCGGGGAUAAAGUGGCCCACGUGUGGGCUUUUGCAGGUACCGCAUGAAUAAGGACCGGCUAAUUCCGUG
RNAcentral lists this ribosomal RNA (490 nucleotides) under uncultured bacterium. RNAcentral's name for it is "partial 16S ribosomal RNA". It matches the Rfam family "Bacterial small subunit ribosomal RNA", at positions 28 to 507 of the family's 1533-position model. The record is from RNAcentral.